Molecule: ribosomal RNA, 449 nt
Filed under: uncultured bacterium
Lineage: Bacteria
Description: bacterial SSU rRNA
Rfam family: Bacterial small subunit ribosomal RNA
Source: RNAcentral
GAUGAACGCUGGCGGUAUGCCUUAUACAUGCAAGUCGUACGGGAGUUUUAACUCAAGUGGCGGACGGGUGAGUAACACGUAAGAAUUUGCCUUUAGGAGGGGACAACAACUGGAAACGGUUGCUAAUACCCCAUAUGCUUUUGAGUGAAAUGGAUUUCCGCCUAAAGAGAAGCUUGCGGCUGAUUAGCUUGUUGGUAGGGUAAAGGCCUACCAAGGCGACGAUCAGUAUCUGGUUUGAGAGGACGAUCAGACACACUGGAACUGAGACACGGUCCAGACUCCUGCGGGAGGCAGCAGUAGGGAAUUUCCGCAAUGGCGAAAGCCUGACGGAGCAAUACCGCGUGAGGGAUGACUGCCUAUGGGUUGUAAACCUCUUUUUCAGGGAGGAAUAAAUGACGUGUACCUGAAGAAUAAGCAUCGGCUAACUCCGUGCCAGCAGCCGCGGUAAU